AUUCUGCCUUGUUCGAGUUAAUAUAGUUUUUAUAAUCCAACACUUUUUAAUAGGGAAUUCGACUCCUGCUGUGGAUUGCAGACCUCCCGCUUGCGGACGAAGGGAGCGUGAAGCUUCAGGGCGUUUACCCACCUGCUUCGUGCGGGUUUUAUUCGCUAUAUGACGGCAAGGCGGAU
This 176-nucleotide non-coding RNA is filed under the name Ruminococcus flavefaciens. RNAcentral's name for it is "6S / SsrS RNA". It matches the Rfam family "6S / SsrS RNA". Rfam says of the family: E. coli 6S RNA was the first non coding RNA to be sequenced, but its function was unknown until recently. It consists of 184 nucleotides that fold into an extended hairpin structure with a large single-stranded internal bulge. Lineage: Bacteria; Bacillati; Bacillota; Clostridia; Eubacteriales; Oscillospiraceae. The record is from RNAcentral.